CAAAAAAAAGAUGCCGAAAUGGAAUAUACUAUUAAUAGUUAUAUAUAUACCGAAUGUAAACAAGCUCAAAUGGGAGGAAUAAAUGAAGAGAGUUACUACUUAAAUGAUUUUGACACUUAUAAUGACAAUCAAAAUAGUGAAGAAACGGAAAAUGCUUUAAGAUUUGUUACAGGUUGUAUAAAUGACAAAAACAUUGUAACCUGCACAAACGAUGACAUAGAAAAAAAAACUAAGACUAGAAACAUUACAACAAACAGGAAAAAGAAUAAAAUACAAACGCUAGAACAAUUUUUUACAAACUGCUUAUUAGAGCUAGUUAAAAAUAUUAAAAAUACAAAUACUCAUUCUUUAUGUUUAAUUAUUAACGCUUGUUGUAAGGUACCUUUUGCUGUGCCAACCGAAUUUUUAAACAUAAUGGUUGAAGAAAUAAAUAAAAAAAUAAGUUUUGCAAAUAUAAGACAUUUGUCAUUAAUAAUUAAUGGGUAUAUGAAAUUAGACAUAAACAACCCAAUAUAUAUAUCAAAUAUAUAUAAAGAAAUUGAAAAAAAAAUAAAUUCUUGUGAUGCACAACAAUUAAGUUUUAUAUUAAGUAGUAUGAUUAAAUAUAAAAAUAGAAAUGAAAAUAUAUUACAUAAAAUAAAAGUAAAAUUGUUUUUAAUUAUUAGAAAAAUGGAAUUACCAGUUUUAUGUAAUAUUAUUUAUUAUUAUACAAAACUAAAUUUAUUCAAUGAAGAUAUAUUUGUUUUAUUUCAAAUUUCUUUUAAUAAACUAAUUGGACAAGCUGAUUUGCAUCAUUUGGCUAUAGCAUCUUAUGCACUUGCGAAAUAUCAAAAAAAUAAAAAAAUGGAUACCACUGGUAAUGAUCUGAUUAUGUUGAUAAAGGAGCGCGCUGAAUAUGUUUUGAAGCGGCAGUCACAGCAACAAAGACAGACACAGUCACAGCAACAGCAACAGCAACAGCAACAGCAACAGCAACAGCAACAGCAACAGCAACAGCAACAGAAAAAGCUCCCGCAAAAUGGACAAAGCGCAAUUCUCACCGUUCACAAUAUAAAAGACAUUUUAAUUUUAAUUAAUAGUCUUAGCGAACUUGAUAUUUAUUCGGACGUGUUAGGUGCUUAUCUGUACGACAUAGUACAUAUAAAUAAAAUAAAAAUUGGUUCUGUUUAUUAUGCUACUGGAGGUCAAAGUGUUUUUCUAGGUGACUCAUCAUAUGAUGUAAAACAAGAAGUAAAAAAAAUUAAACAGAGUGUUAGUUUGUUAAAUGAAGAAGACAUUCGAAAUAAGUUUAUAAAUAGGGGUAUAUAUUUAUCAUUAAAGACUUUAGUUUUGUAUAAAAAUCAUUUAUAAGUACAUACUACUAAACACGUUUUAUAUAAUAUAUUAUGCUUUUUAAAUCCAAGGCUUUAUAAAAAAAAAAAAAA
RNAcentral lists this long non-coding RNA (1424 nucleotides) under Piliocolobus tephrosceles (Ugandan red Colobus). RNAcentral's name for it is "lncRNA (ENSPTEG00000000875.1)". Lineage: Eukaryota; Metazoa; Chordata; Mammalia; Primates; Cercopithecidae. The record is from RNAcentral.